UUUGCCCCUAGAGGCGUUACAGAUGUGGCUGCGGUGUCACUUCUGUGUCAUUAGGUGGCAGAGAGCAAUCUGGCUGCGUCUACGCUCGGUGCUCUGUAUAGUGGGCACUCAGAAUGAUUACCAGCCUGACAGC
This is a small nucleolar RNA of Bombina bombina (fire-bellied toad), 133 nucleotides long. RefSeq annotates it as small nucleolar RNA SNORA17. The transcript has a single exon. The record is from RefSeq and is a predicted model, not a curated record. NCBI's taxonomy places the organism in Eukaryota, Metazoa, Chordata, Amphibia, Anura, Bombinatoridae.